GUGAAGGUGGUCAGGGCAGAGGGCUGCGGUUCCCCUGUACCUUGAUUGGAAUCCUCCAGAAAGCACACAGACCUGCAUCUCUCCUAACCUGCCCAUGGGGACCUCUGCCUUUGCAUGGAGUCUUUCUAAGUCUUUUCCCCAUGGGUUUGGGGAAAGCCCCCUCUCAGGAAGGCUGGAUUUCCAGCUCCACCGCAGGAUGUGGGGUUCCCAUCAAUGGGCCUGGCUGGUGAGGUGGCUGAAGCCACGGGGAAACAGGGCAGGCUGGGUCCUGACCUCAGCCCCUGGAGGGUGAGCUUGAGAGAGUUAAACUCCAGUGUUCUGCUCUCUCGCACUGGAAGUCCUGCACAGCUACCAGUUGCCCAUAACCCAAAAGAGUUUCAUUUCAAACCCAGUGCUCCCUCCAACUCAGGCCUCCUUUCUACUCGCCCAGCCCUUUUUCAGCUUGUGAAGUUAUUAAAAGGGAAACAUUUUUUAUAUUAUAACUUCCAGCUUACACCUAGGACAGCUAAACUAAAGAUCAAAGUAAAGUAAAAAGCAAAUUAGUAGGAUUCUCUCCUCUUUCUGCUCAACACAACCUCAGACCUGCUCAGCUCAGCCCUAGGCAGUAGAGUCUGCUGGGCCUGUGCUUGACCUUUACAGCUCAACUUGGAAAAUGUCACAGUGACACACUCAGCAGCCAGGUGGUCCUGGAAGAUGGUAAUCCAGGGGAGUCCCCAGCAACUACCUGCCAUCUGCCUGUGCCAACAGGAGCCCAGUGGGCAGGACAGAAAUGAGCCGCAGUGGGAAGAGAAUCCACUGAGAUUCAGGAGCUUGGGGAAUCACGGCUAAUACACUCAAAUGACAUUUACUGAGCUGGCACCUUCAAGGGUUCCAGUCUUAUGCUUGGCUUAUCCCUGUCUGGAACUUUCCUACUGAUGAGGGAGACAGAAUGCUCUGUGAUGAGUGUCUGUCACCCUAUCACAGUGCCUGGGAGUAAAUCACGAUUCACCUGUACUAGACAGACACCUCAGCUCCAUGCGGGACGGACCGAUGCUGCUUCCUCUGUCAGAAUCUUAAACACACAAAUGUCACCAUGUUACCUUUAAAACUGUGACCGCCUGUGACUGCGGAUAAGCCCACAGAAGUGGUCCCCACUGCACACACCACGGGCCUGCAGUCAGGCUCUGCCACUGUUUCUACUAUGCCAGAAGUGUUCCGUGAGAUUCAGGAUGAAUUUCCAAGUUUCUUCCACCAAAAACCGGUUCAUGAGAGCCGAAGUAAAGACCUAAUCCCUGUAGUCCUGCCUGUGUACCAGGCGCUGCUCCAAGGCCUGUAGAUAUUAACGUUGGCAAAUGGAGAUAAGGACCUAUAGGUGUCACAAGGGACAAGAGACAGGGCAGGCAGGCAUUCAAACAGAAAGAUGACAGCACUGUCAGAACCAUCACAGAUAACAGAGAUGUGAAGGUCUAAAUAAGAAGUGGGACAGGGGACAAUUCUAAGAUCUCCAGAAACAACUUGCCAGUUCUGGAGCUGGGGGCUUGCAGUUCCUUUGGACACCUCCACUGGGGUCCCACUAGCCACACAGCACUCCGUAAGGCCACAGCUCCACCCAGCUGGGGACACAAGAACAACACUAAAGGGAUCCCAAGGUGGUGCCCAUGCUGGGUUCUGAAGACAGAGCAGGCUCGUCAUGCAGAUGGAAUUUCAUCUGGGCCUGAACAAUCAAGUCUGGAAAGCUGGACAGAAGCAGCUGGACGCCCACCUCGCCUAAUAUGCCACUGCAAGGCUGUGUCCUCUUCCUCUCUGCAAAACUGAGCUUCCCAUGCCUGAAGGUCCCACAGCACCAAGGCCAGGGCUGGCUGGGGACACCACUCCAUAGGAAAAGUACUGGAGAUCCACCUCCUGAUGGUCCACGAGGGGCCUGGCCUUGUCCUCCUGGUCACCACCAUACCCUAGCACAGCACACAGUCUACCCUGGGCCCUCAAUCGACAUCCUGUGAAAGAAGGAAGGGAGGCAGGGAGUGGCAGGAGCACAUGUGACCAAGGCUACAACUGUCUGUGUCCGUGCUGUCCCCUGCCUAGACUGGGCAGGGCACUGCUGAAGCCAGCAAAUUCCCUCCACGUGGUGAACACCCAUAGGCUGCUGAAGGCAGUGCCACCUCCGACAGGGACACACACCUGUACUUACGUCCAUCGUCAGCAGCAACGCAGCUUCUGUGCAGUGUGGCCAUACUUCCUUCCCUGUCAUUGGCCUCUUUCUGGGUGACACAUGAGUGACUUACAGACAAAAGCAGAAACACACUUACCCUCCUAGCUCUCCCACAGAACUUCCUUCUCGGCAAAUUCAAAAAAAAAAAUUCCCUGCCCACAUCCCAUCCACCC
This 2361-nucleotide long non-coding RNA is filed under the name Heterocephalus glaber (naked mole-rat). RNAcentral's name for it is "lncRNA (ENSHGLG00100026926.2)". Lineage: Eukaryota; Metazoa; Chordata; Mammalia; Rodentia; Bathyergidae. The record is from RNAcentral.